This 2218-nucleotide ribosomal RNA is filed under the name Tetra salixis. RNAcentral's name for it is "partial small subunit ribosomal RNA". The record is from RNAcentral. Lineage: Eukaryota; Metazoa; Arthropoda; Arachnida; Trombidiformes; Eriophyidae.
UGUAAAGUUCAAGCUCCGAUAUGUGAGGGCGAAACCGCGAAUGGCUCAUUAAAUCAGUCAUAAUCUACUUGAUUGUUUAGCGUUAUAUGGAUAACUGUGGUAAUUCUAGAGCUAAUACAUGCGUGAGGAGGGCGACUUGUUAGCGCAAGAAGCUCCGCGUUUAUUAGACUAAGACCGGCGUUGGUUCUCGCAACCUUCCCAAUCUAAGGUGACUCUGAGUAAAUAACGGGUGCAAGCCCGUGCUGCCGACCUGGCUCACCAAACGCCCGCAAGGGCGGCCAGGCGAAUCAAUCGAGUGUCUGCUCUAUCAACUGUGGAUGGUAGGGUAAUUGCCUACCAUGGUGAUGACGGGUAACGGGGAGUUAGGGCUCGACUCCGGAGAACAAGCCUGAGAAACGGCUAGUAGGACUAAGGUCUGCAGCAGGCGCGAAACUUACACAAUGCUAGAUUUCACAUUAAAAUUAGCGAUGUAGUGAAGAAAAAUAACGAUGCACUUGCUUUUAAACAAGCUUGUGCAAUUGGAAUGAGACGACUUUAAAAGGGUCCGUCGAGUAACAAAUGGAGGGCAAGUCUGGUGCCAGCAGCCGCGGUAAUUCCAGCUCCAUUAGCAUACAUUAAAGUUGUUGCGGUUAAAAAGCUCGUAGUUGAAUGUCUGGCGGUCUCUGAGUCGGCGGGCGCGUUAAGGGUUCUACCUCUCUAAUGGGGUUUAACCUGCGCUCGCGCGGCUAGGGAGGCCGUUGUUUCGUCACUUAAUCGAGUGCGAAGCGAGUCGGUUGGAAGCGCUCGAGCGCAAGCUCGAGCCUCACUCCGACAAGUUUACCUUGAGAAAAUUAGAGUGCUCAGCGCAGGCAGUUUGGGUGUAAAAGCCCUCUUAUGCUUGAAUAAUGUUGCAUGGAAUAAUAGAAUACGGCCUCGGUUCUAUUCUGUUGGUCUUAUAGAACAACAAACAAGUUGGUGCGAGCGCCAAAGGUCUCUCUGGGCUGUGGCGAGCGCGCGCUCGUGUUGUCGGGGGCCUAAAAAUCUCCGUACCUCGGCGCCGCCCGCCUCAAAAGCAGCCCUCUGCAGCCUGCUCACACACCAACUGAGGCAAUGGUUAAAAGAAAUAGUCGCGGCGGCAUCAGUACUGCAUCGUGAGAGGUGAAAUUCUUAGACCGAUGCAAGACUAACUGAAGCGAAAGCGUUUGCCGAGGAUAUUUUCAUUAAUCAAGAACGAAAGUUAGAGGUUCGAAGGCGAUCAGAUACCGCCCUAGUUCUAACCAUAAACGUUGCCAACUAGCAAUUGGGUUGCGAUUCCUUUAAUUGGAGCCUAAAAAACUCCAAUCAUUAUGAUCCACCCAGCGGCUCUCGUAGGGAAACCAAAGUGUUUGGGUUCCGGGGGAAGUAUGAUUGCAAAGUUGAAACUUAAAGGAAUUGACGGAAGGGCACCACCAGGAGUGGAGCCUGCGGCUUAAUUUGACUCAACACGGGGAAACUUACUAGAUUAGAACUCUGGAAUGAUUGACAGAUUGAUAGCUCUUUCUUGAUUCAGAGGAUGGUGGUGCAUGGCCGUUCUUGAUUCGUAUUCCGAAACGUCUGCUUAAUUGCGAUAACGAGUGAGACCUCACCCAACUAACUAGUCGCUCUGUGCGCUGUGGGACGCUAAAGUCGGUCGUUGGGUAGCUGCGAGGGUUUCGGCCCCCGUAGUCCAGCUUCCGAUGUCCUCUGCUCGCAAGCGGACUUCUUAGAGGGAUAAACGGUGUUUUAGCCGUAAGAAACGAGGCAAUAACAGGUCUGUGAUGCCCUUAGAUAUUCUAGGCCGCACGCGUGCUACAAUGGCGUGUGCAGAAAGCUUGUUCGAGGUUCGUCCGGAGAGAACUAGGCGUUUGGCGGCYGGUUGGGGCAACUCAGCUAGUUGUCGGCGCACAAGUGACUCCGGCUCGCGAGCCGAGAGAAACCGCGGCCGAAAGGUCGUGGCAAUCAGAAAUACACGCCGUGAUUUGGGAUUGGGGAUUGCAAUUGUUGCCCAUGAACGAGGAAUUCCCAGUAAGCGCGAUUCAUCAUAUCGCGUUGAUUACGUCCCUGCCCUUUGUACACACCGCCCGUCGCUACUACCGAUUGGAAGUUUUAGUGAGGCAUCUGGACUUGCCGUCCACGGGAGGGGCAACCCUUCCAGGCACGGCGGGGAAGUUUGUCGAACUCAAAUUUCUAGAGGAAGUAAAAGUCGUAACAAGGUUUCCGU